This 344-nucleotide long non-coding RNA is filed under the name Lonchura striata (white-rumped munia). RNAcentral's name for it is "domestica (Bengalese finch) lncRNA (ENSLSDG00000018042.1)". The record is from RNAcentral. Lineage: Eukaryota; Metazoa; Chordata; Aves; Passeriformes; Estrildidae.
CACCAAGUUGCCUGCUGAGGAGGAAGGCUCCCUGCACCAUCGGACAGGGCUUGCAUAAGACUGUCAGGCACUAUUGAACAGAGACAUUUGUGUUUAUCUGCCUACCUGGUAAGGGAAAGGGUGCCCCAGGUCCCGUGUGCAGGUGACAGUCACUGCUGUGCUGCAGCCAAAACGUGGAGUCUGUGGACAGCUGAAGUUCCAGUGGUGGAGCAGGGAAUGGGGAGAGGCAUGGAAGGUCCAGGUGGAGAGCCCACAGCCAAGAGAGACUGCUGUGCAGAAAAUGUGAUAGCAGCUGGUGAGUUGCAGCAGUCCCCAUCCCAGUGGGUUUGCCACCCUUUCACUGU